AACUCAUUUCAUACAGGUCUUUCUGUAAAAACAAAUUGGAAAAAAGCUUUUUUUUAUCUGCUGUUUUGGCUUUUUCAGUACAGUAGACUCACGUUAUCCACACAUUCGCUCAUCUCUGGUUGCCCCCCCCCCCCUAGUUGAGUCUUAGAGGAGAGCGGCAAUGGUCAAUAGAAAAAUUUGGAGAAAUAUUCCAACUAGCAUAAAAGUUAAAAGACAAAAUCAUAGAAUAUGAUCCAAUAGUGGAACAUCAGCAUAACACGACUGCUAACUCAAGCAAUGGACUCAUCAAUAAAAUUUCCUGCAGUUGAAAAAGUAGACAAAACAUCCUAUAACGAUGUUCUUUGAGAAAUCUAAAUGAACAACCUUUGUUGAUUUAUCACCAUUUACAUCUAACUGUGGAAUUUAAUUUACCUUGUUUUAUAAUUAUCUGUUUUAGGUCUCUAAUAAUUUUUUCUCAUUUGUUUCAAUGUCAUGCAUAGGGCAUGCCUGUUCAUACAUGUAUGUACGUAUUGUUUUCCAGAGUGGAAUAAACAUGUACAUAAGAUCAUACAAAACAAGGGCUCACAUUUGAUCAGGGGAAAUUAGACAAGUCAAGGGCAUUACGGACCUCCAUGGGAGCAUGAGAGCCGGAGUAAAGAUUUUCUCUCUGUGUCGGAGAUUCAGAGGAGUUAGAACUGGUACUAAGCCCUCAGAGAGAGAGAGAGAUGUUCCUGAGAGUCCUUUUCUGGAUCGGUUUUCUAGUUCAUCCUGAACUUGGUUCCUGGAAAUAUUCAAAUCUGUAAAUUGUGCCUUCAUAGCAGCAAGUUCCUUC
This is a long non-coding RNA of Cimex lectularius (bed bug), 811 nucleotides long. RefSeq lists it as uncharacterized. Lineage: Eukaryota; Metazoa; Arthropoda; Insecta; Hemiptera; Cimicidae. The record is from RefSeq and is a predicted model, not a curated record. The transcript is spliced from 3 exons.